AAAUGAACGCUGGCGGCAGGCCUAACACAUGCAAGUCGGGCGGUAACAGGGAUAGCUUGCUAUCUGCUGACGAGCGGCGGACGGGUGAGUAAUGCAUAGGAAUCUGCCUGNUAGUGGGGGAUAGCCCAGAGAAAUUUGGAUUAAUACCGCAUACGCCCUACGGGGGAAAGCUGGGGACCUUCGGGCCUAGCGCUAUCAGAUGAGCCUAUGUCGGAUUAGCUUGUUGGUGAGGUAACGGCUCACCAAGGCGACGAUCCGUAGCUGGUCUGAGAGGAUGAUCAGCCACACUGGGACUGAGACACGGCCCAGACUCCUACGGGAGGCANCAGUGGGGNAUAUUGGACAAUGGGCGCAAGCCUGAUCCANCCAUGCCGNGUGUGUGAAGAAAGCCUUCNGGUUGUAAAGCACUUUCAUCCGAGGAGGAAAGGGGUGUUGCUAAUAUCAANGCCCUGUGACGUUACUCGCANAAGAAAACCGGCUAACUUCGUGCCAGCAGCCGCGGUAAU
This 506-nucleotide ribosomal RNA is filed under the name uncultured bacterium. RNAcentral's name for it is "bacterial SSU rRNA". It matches the Rfam family "Bacterial small subunit ribosomal RNA", at positions 29 to 524 of the family's 1533-position model. The record is from RNAcentral.